This 72-nucleotide transfer RNA is filed under the name Paeniglutamicibacter antarcticus. RNAcentral's name for it is "tRNA-Thr". It matches the Rfam family "tRNA". Rfam says of the family: Transfer RNA (tRNA) molecules are approximately 80 nucleotides in length. Their secondary structure includes four short double-helical elements and three loops (D, anti-codon, and T loops). Further hydrogen bonds mediate the characteristic L-shaped molecular structure. tRNAs have two regions of fundamental functional importance: the anti-codon, which is responsible for specific mRNA codon recognition, and the 3' end, to which the tRNAs corresponding amino acid is attached (by aminoacyl-tRNA synthetases). tRNAs cope with the degeneracy of the genetic code in two manners: having more than one tRNA (with a specific anti-codon) for a particular amino acid; and 'wobble' base-pairing, i.e. permitting non-standard base-pairing at the 3rd anti-codon position. The record is from RNAcentral. Lineage: Bacteria; Bacillati; Actinomycetota; Actinomycetes; Micrococcales; Micrococcaceae. RNAcentral also lists the same sequence under 1 other name.
GCCCGCUUAGCUCAGCAGCAGGUCGCGUCCUUGGUAAGAACGAGGUCGCCGGAUCAAUCCCGGCAUCGGGUU